CGUUGCACUAUCGUUUGAUGAAUACAUAGUCAAACGAAGCGAACCGGGGGAACUGAAACAUCUCAGUACCCCGAGGAAAAGAAAUCAACCGAGAUUCCCCUAGUAGCGGCGAGCGAACGGGGAGCAGCCCAGAGUCUUAAUCAGCAUUAGCAUCAGGAGAACGGUCUGGAAAGGCCGGCAGUAAAGGGUGAUAGCCCCGUAUCCGAAGGUGUUAGUGUUGUGAACUCGACGAGUAGGGCGGGACACGUGUUAUCCUGUCUGAAUAUGGGGGGACCAUCCUCCAAGGCUAAAUACUCCUGAUUGACCGAUAGUGAACCAGUACCGUGAGGGAAAGGCGAAAAGAACCCCGGCGAGGGGAGUGAAAUAGAACCUGAAACCGUGUACGUACAAGCAGUGGGAGCCCCACCACCAAAGCAUUUUCUGGUGUUGAGGACAACUUUAAAGUGACAUUCAACACGCGUUGGCGGAGCGUUUUUUGCGACGCCCAACACACAAAACAAGCAGUGAAUGUGCUUUGGGGUGGGGUGACUGCGUACCUUUUGUAUAAUGGGUCAGCGACUUAUAUUCUGUAGCAAGGUUAACCGUAUAGGGGAGCCGUAGGGAAACCGAGUCUUAACUGGGCGAAU
Molecule: ribosomal RNA, 626 nt
Filed under: Providencia rettgeri
Lineage: Bacteria; Pseudomonadati; Pseudomonadota; Gammaproteobacteria; Enterobacterales; Morganellaceae
Description: partial 23S ribosomal RNA
Rfam family: Bacterial large subunit ribosomal RNA
Source: RNAcentral